CUCAGCCGAUGGGCGAUGCCGAUGGCAGAACAGGUUAAUAUUCCUGUACUACCUUCAGGAGUGACGUGGAGACGGAGGCGUGACAGCGCCGCGGACUGACGGAAUAGUCCGUUGAAGAGUUUAGAUGUUGAUCGCGGCAGGCAAAUCCACCGCGUGAGUCGACGCUCGAUAGUAUGGAGCGCCCCUCGGGGCAAUCCAAUAGUGCGUGUAAUCAUACUCCCAAGAAAAUCCGCUAAACAUUCAUCUUGUAGGUAC
This 255-nucleotide ribosomal RNA is filed under the name Bacteroides pyogenes. RNAcentral's name for it is "partial 23S ribosomal RNA". It matches the Rfam family "Bacterial large subunit ribosomal RNA", at positions 1397 to 1640 of the family's 2925-position model. Lineage: Bacteria; Pseudomonadati; Bacteroidota; Bacteroidia; Bacteroidales; Bacteroidaceae. The record is from RNAcentral.